GGAGGGCGACGAAUGGAAGACUGCCAUGUUCACGCCCCUGGGCACCUAUGAAUACAGAGUUAUGCCCUUUGGAUUACAAAAUGGCUCCCACUGUUUUCAAGCCUUCAUGCAUCACGUAUUGGCGGGUCUCCUCUACAAGAAAUGCGUCUGCUUCCUGGACGACAUCCUGAUAUUUUCAGAAUCAGAGGAGACCCACGAGGGAGACGUCAAGGAAGUUCUGCAGAGACUGCAGGAGCACAGGCUGUACGCCAAGCUGGAGAAGUGCCAGUUCGACAUGAAGGAGGUAGAUUUCCUGGGCUACAAGUUGUCGGACAAGGGGCUCGCCAUGGACAGCGCCAAGGUUCGCUCAGUGUUGGACUGGAAGAGCCCGCGCAAUCGGAAGGAGGUCCAGCGGUUUGUCGGUUUCGCCAACUUUUACCGCAAGUUCAUCAAGGGGUUCGCGAUGCAGACGGCGGCCAUUACCGACACGCUCAGCUCCAAGAAGAAGAAGUUCAUCUGGACGGAGCAAGCGGAGCAGUCCUUUCAGAAACUCAAGCGUCUCUUCUCGUCCGAAGAGCAGCUACUGCAUGUGAAUCCCAGCAGACCGAUGAGGGUUGAAACGGACGCCUCAGACAGAGCCGUGGGAGCAGUACUGUUGCAGCAAGACCCGCAUGGGGACUGGAGACCGUGUGCCUUCUACUCCAGGAAGCUCAGCAAGUCAGAGCAGAACUACACCAUCUGGGACAGGGAGUUGCUGGCCAUUCAUGCAGCAUUCAAGGCGUGGCGGCACUUCCUCAUUGGAGCCAAACACACAGUGCAGGUCCGCACGGACCAUAAAAACCUGGAGUACUGGCGCACGGCAAGGUUCCUGAACCAGAGGCACAUACGAUGGGCGGAGUUCUUUGCGGAUUUCGACUUCAGGAUAGAGUACAUCCCAGGCGACAACAACAUCAUGGCGGAUGCACUGUCCAGAAAGCCGCAAUACCUCGAGGAGGCGGCACCAGCAGCGGCCAAGCACAUUUUCGCACCGAAAGCGUGGGCGUGCGCUUCAGCAACCGUGGACCUGGAUGCUGUACGUCGAGCACUGCAGGAGGACCCCUUCGCGCAAGCAAAGAUGGCAGAGGUGCAAAGGGGCACGGCGGAGGACGACGAGUUCCAGAUACGCGACGGAUUGCUCAUCCGCAGAGGGGCCCUCUACGUACCGGGAGACGACCUCCGCGCGAAAGUACUGCAGCAGUUGCACGACGCACCCACCGCCGGGCACUUUGGCAAAGAGAAGACGGUAGAAUUAGUAGCCAGAGAUUUUUGGUGGCCCAAGAUGCGGGGGGGAAGUCGCGGAUUACGUCUCGAGGUGCGACACCUGCCAAAGGGCCAAGUCAGUGCACAAACCGCCGGCGGGACUGCUCGAACCCCUGCAGACACCGCUCGAACCGUGGGAGAGGGUGGCCCUGGACUUUGUCACGGAUCUACCCAGCUCGAGGGGCAAGACGGCAGUGCUAGUGGUGGUGGACAUGUUCACCAAAAUGGCCCACUUCAUUCCGUGCGCGAAGGUGGCCACGGCGGAACAGACCGCCAAACUGUUCAUAGACCACGUGUUCAGAGUUCACGGUCUGCCACGGUCUAUCCUGUCCGACCGGGGGGCGACAGUUCAUCUCGAACUUCUGGCAGAAGCUGAUGGGUUUCCUGAACGUCAAGAUCAACCUAGCGUCGGCGAGACACCCGCAGACGAACGGACAAGCGGAGCGAGUCAACGCCAUCAUGCAGCAGUACCUGCGAUGCUACGCAAAUCAGCAGCCGGCAACAUGGGUGGACUACCUGCCGCUCGCUGAGUUCGCCUACAACAACACGAAGCACGUGUCCACGGGGGUGACACCGUUCUUCGCCAACAACGGGAGGCAUCCCAGAACCUUCCCGGGAUUAGCGAGAGCGGGGGAGGGGAGCCACAGGCAGCGGAAGCCUUAGCAUCAGAGUUGCAGGAGGUUCACGAACAGCUUAGGAGGCAGUUAGAACUAGCAAAGCACGCAUACAAACUGCAGGCUGACAAGCACAGGAGGGUUGGGGAAGACAUACAGGUGGGAGACUGGGUUUGGUUAGCAGCCCAGGCAGUGCCGGCCAGAUCGUUAGCGAAGAAGAAGCUAGGGCAUAAGCAGCUAGGACCCUACCAAGUCGAGGCACAGGUCAAUCCAGUGGCUUUCCGGUUGACACUGCCGGAGGGAUCCAGAAUGCACCCAGUUUUCCAUAGAUCAGUGCUCACGCCCUACAAAGCACCUCAUAGAUUUCAGGAGCCAGGAACGGCACCAGACCCGUUCAGGGAAACGCCCACAAGGGGGUCGCCAAGGCGGGAACCCGUCAACGAAGUCACAGAGAUUUUAGACUCGAGAUGGGGGAGGAGGGAGUGGAAUACCUCCUCGCCAAGGAAGGUACCCCGGCUAGCGCCAACAGUUGGGUGCCAGAUUAUGCUCUGGAGGAAUCUUGGCUCAAGGACGAGUUCCAUGCACUUUUCCCACACAGGCCCAUGCCAGCCGAGUAUUUCGACGACUGGCUUUUCACACCCACAUUUUCAGCUAGCACAUUCCAGGGGUUCACCUCGGACGAGGAACCGGCACUAGAAGCACGUUCCCCGGAGGGAUCACCCUCGGGGUCUGCCUCAGACCGUUCCUAUUGGUGGGACACUCAACCAGAGGAGCAGUGGCGCAGGAAGUGGUUGGGGGGUCCUUGGCAGGCAACGUCCCCGGAGGAGACCGGGGAGAGACGGACAUGGACGUGUUGGGGGAGGACCUUGGGUUCGAGCACGGCGGCAAAGAGAUGGAAGCAGAGGAAAUUGAGGUCGGCGAGAGCACGGAGGACGAGCCGGACUUAUCCGGCUGGAUGCACGCCACGGGGGACGAACUGUAUCCGGCACUCACCCCCACAACGACGGAGCACCCAGUACCCACACCUGAAGGAGGGGAGGGGGAAGGGGGGCUUCGAGGGGGAUGGAUGUCAGGGGUUCAGGAGCAGAGGCACAGGAAAGGGAGGAAAUAGAGAGCGAGGGGGAGGAGUCCGAAGGAAAUGUUAGCGAUGACAGCGGUCCGAGGUCUCUGAGUCUUUCCAGCGAAUCGGAAGAUUCACAGAAAGGGGCUCCCUUGGUCAGAGCAAGGGGGGUGCCGAGGGGGGACACCCCAGGAAGAAGGGGCCAGAGGGGACUCAGAGAGCAGCAGUUGGAAAUCAGGACCAGCGUCCACACCAGAGUGCAGUAGGGGGGGAGGAGUCCCAGGCAUCGGGAUCAGGCGGCGCACUGCCAGUGGGAGGACAUGAGUCAGGAUUGGCCACGCCUCCAUCGGGGAGCGAGGAAACGGUCGAGAGGAAGGUUGAAGGCUGGGCGCGCGCGCCAAGUUCAAAUGUACAGGAGGGCGGCGCAGUUGGCAGCCCGGAUAGGGAGCCAGGUCCCAAAGCCCGCCGAAAAGAGGGGGAGGAGUCAGCGGGGUCAGCGUCAGAAGAAUCCAGGAAGGAAGGGACCCCGGGGGGUAGCAGGACCCAGAGGAGAAAGGAGAGACGUAAGAGGUGGAGUAAGGCUAGAAUCUUAAACUGGUGUACAGGCGGCGGAGACUCAGAUGGAGCUUCGCCGAUCUAACCCCUAGACGUAGAGCUGGGGCGCUCCGGCUUGAAAAUGGAAACUGUACUUCAAUAAAGACUUUUGUACAUUACUGCCGGAUAGCGUUGGUCCUCUGUGAGCUGGGACCUGGAGCCAGCUCUGACACA
This 3720-nucleotide long non-coding RNA is filed under the name Podarcis lilfordi (Lilford's wall lizard). Lineage: Eukaryota; Metazoa; Chordata; Lepidosauria; Squamata; Lacertidae. The record is from RNAcentral.